AUGGCGGCGGUGUUCCUCGCCGGUUCCAAGCGAGAUGGCGAGUUCUGGUUGGGUCUCUCCAUGGCGACGGUGGCGGGGCGCGAGGAGAGGUCGGGAGGUCCUGGCGGUGCCCGACCCCUGCGCGGGGGUGGGGAUGAGGUGCACGGCGGCAGGCGGCAUCAACUCUCCUGCGUGCGGCCAGAAAGAGAGGGAGAGAGAGAUGAGAGAGAGAGCCAGGAGGAAGAAGGGAAGGAAGGAGGCUUGAGGAAGGGGCGGCCGGAUCCUGCGAGGCUGGGUUGGAGCCCCGGUGGUCGUGCUGCUGCUGUUGGACGGCGGCCGAUGGGACAAGUCCCUAGGUAG
RNAcentral lists this ribosomal RNA (339 nucleotides) under Triticum aestivum (bread wheat). RNAcentral's name for it is "partial small subunit ribosomal RNA". Lineage: Eukaryota; Viridiplantae; Streptophyta; Magnoliopsida; Poales; Poaceae. The record is from RNAcentral.